AGCGAACGCUGGCGGCAGGCCUAACACAUGCAAGUCGAACGCCCCUUCGGGGGAGUGGCGGACGGGUGAGUAACGCGUGGGAAUGUGCCCUUUGGUACGGAACAACUGAGGGAAACUUCAGCUAAUACCGUAUGUGCCCUACGGGGGAAAGGUUUAUCGCCAUUGGAGCAGCCCGCGUUGGAUUAGGUAGUUGGUGGGGUAAUGGCCCACCAAGCCGACGAUCCAUAGCUGGUCUGAGAGGAUGAUCAGCCACACUGGGACUGAGACACGGCCCAGACUCCUACGGGAGGCAGCAGUGGGGAAUCUUGCGCAAUGGGCGAAAGCCUGACGCAGCCAUGCCGCGUGAAUGAUGAAGGUCGUAGGAUUGUAAAAUUCUUUCACCGGGGAAGAUAAUGACGGUACCCGGAGAAGAAGCCCCGGCUAACUUCGUG
Molecule: ribosomal RNA, 431 nt
Filed under: uncultured bacterium
Lineage: Bacteria
Description: partial 16S ribosomal RNA
Rfam family: Bacterial small subunit ribosomal RNA
Source: RNAcentral